AACGAACGCUGGCGGCGUGCUUAACACAUGCAAGUCGAACGCGAAAGUUUUCUUCGGAGAGCGAGUAGAGUGGCGCACGGGUGAGUAACGCGUAAGUUAUCUACCUCGGCAUCUGGAAUAACUCACCGAAAGGUGUGCUAAUACCGGAUACGUUGAGUAAUCAAGAAAGGUGGCCUCUGUAUAUGCUACUGUGCUGGGAUGAGCUUGCGUACCAUUAGCUAGUUGGUAGGGUAAUGGCCUACCAAGGCGACGAUGGUUAGCUGGUCUGAGAGGAUGAUCAGCCACACUGGAACUGAGACACGGUCCAGACUCCUACGGGUGGCUG
This 325-nucleotide ribosomal RNA is filed under the name uncultured Pseudomonadota bacterium. RNAcentral describes it as "bacterial SSU rRNA". It matches the Rfam family "Bacterial small subunit ribosomal RNA", at positions 29 to 351 of the family's 1533-position model. The record is from RNAcentral. Lineage: Bacteria; Pseudomonadati; Pseudomonadota.